GUGGGGAAUUGUUCGCAAUGGGCGCAAGCCUGACGACGCAACGCCGCGUGGAGGAUGAAGAUUUUCGGAUCGUAAACUCCUGUCGAAUGGGACGAAUGGCUCGGCCGUGAAUAACGGCCGGGAAUGACGGUACCGUGAGAGGAAGCCCCGGCUAACUCCGUGCCAGCAGCCGCGGUAAUACGGGGGGGGCAAGCGUUGUUCGGAAUUACUGGGCGUAAAGGGCUCGUAGGUGGCCACCUAAGUCCGACGUGAAAUCCCUCGGCUCAACCGGGGAACUGCGUCGGAUACUGGGUGGCUUGAAUCCGGGAGAGGGACGUGGAAUUCCAGGUGUAGCGGUGAAAUGCGUAGAUAUCUGGAGGAACACCGGUGGCGAAGGCGGCGUCCUGGACCGGUAUUGACACUGAGGAGCGAAAGCCAGGGGAGCAAACGGGAUUAGA
This 437-nucleotide ribosomal RNA is filed under the name uncultured bacterium. Its description in RNAcentral is "bacterial SSU rRNA". It matches the Rfam family "Bacterial small subunit ribosomal RNA", at positions 354 to 782 of the family's 1533-position model. The record is from RNAcentral.